Molecule: ribosomal RNA, 362 nt
Filed under: uncultured fungus
Lineage: Eukaryota; Fungi
Description: eukaryotic LSU rRNA
Rfam family: Eukaryotic large subunit ribosomal RNA
Source: RNAcentral
AUAUCAAUAAGCGGAGGAAAAGAAACCAACAGGGAUUGCCUCAGUAACGGCGAGUGAAGCGGCAAGAGCUCAAAUUUGAAAUCUGGCCCCUUUGGGGUCCGAGUUGUAAUUUGGAGAGGAUGCUUCGGGUGCCACCCCUAUCUAAGUGCCCUGGAACGGGCCGUCAUAGAGGGUGAGAAUCCCGUCUGGGAUGGGUGGUGGUUGCCCAUGUGAAGCUCCUUCGAUGAGUCGAGUUGUUUGGGAAUGCAGCUCUAAAUGGGUGGUAAAUUUCAUCUAAAGCUAAAUAUUGGCCGGAGACCGAUAGCGCACAAGUAGAGUGAUCGAAAGAUGAAAAGCACUUUGAAAAGAGAGUGAAACAGCAC